RNAcentral lists this ribosomal RNA (427 nucleotides) under uncultured bacterium. Its description in RNAcentral is "partial 16S ribosomal RNA". It matches the Rfam family "Bacterial small subunit ribosomal RNA", at positions 355 to 774 of the family's 1533-position model. The record is from RNAcentral.
UGGGGAAUAUUGCACAAUGGGCGCAAGCCUGAUGCAGCCAUGCCGCGUGUAUGAAGAAGGCCUUCGGGUUGUAAAGUACUUUCAGCGGGGAGGAAGGCGAUAAGGUUAAUAACCUUGUCGAUUGACGUUACCCGCAGAAGAAGCACCGGCUAACUCGGUGCCAGCGGCCGCGGUAAUACGGGGGGGGCAAGCGUUAAUCGGAAUUACUGGGCGUAAAGCGCACGCAGGCGGUCUGUCAAGUCGGAUGUGAAAUCCCCGGGCUCAACCUGGGAACUGCAUUCGAAACUGGCAGGCUAGAGUCUUGUAGAGGGGGGUAGAAUUCCAGGUGUAGCGGUGAAAUGCGUAGAGAUCUGGAGGAAUACCGGUGGCGAAGGCGGCCCCCUGGACAAAGACUGACGCUCAGGUGCGAAAGCGUGGGGAGCAAACA